ACAAACUUGGUCAUUUAGAGGAAGUAAAAGUCGUAACAAGGUAACCGUAGGUGAACCUGCGGUUGGAUCAUUAAUAAACUAAUAGGCCUUAAGGUCUUAUCCAACACAUCGUGAACUGUUAUGUCUCUUGCGUGCUUCGGUACGCAAAAUACUAUAUAAACUAUGUAUAAAUAUCUGUCUAAUACUAUGCUUUAAUUAGCAAUUGUUUAAUUAAAAACAACUUUUGACAACGGAUCUCUAGGCUCUCACAUCGAUGAAGAACGCAGC
RNAcentral lists this unclassified non-coding RNA (267 nucleotides) under uncultured fungus. RNAcentral's name for it is "partial contains small subunit ribosomal RNA, internal transcribed spacer 1, and 5.8S ribosomal RNA". The stretch from base 1 to 73 matches the Rfam family "Eukaryotic small subunit ribosomal RNA", at positions 1759 to 1831 of the family's 1831-position model. Lineage: Eukaryota; Fungi. The record is from RNAcentral.